GCGCCAUUAACUCAGCUGGUAGAGUAUCUCCUUUUUAAGGAGAGGGCCCUUGGUUCGAGUCCAAGAUGGCGCA
This 73-nucleotide transfer RNA is filed under the name Fibrobacterota bacterium. RNAcentral's name for it is "Fibrobacteres bacterium (bioreactor metagenome) tRNA-Lys". It matches the Rfam family "tRNA". Rfam says of the family: Transfer RNA (tRNA) molecules are approximately 80 nucleotides in length. Their secondary structure includes four short double-helical elements and three loops (D, anti-codon, and T loops). Further hydrogen bonds mediate the characteristic L-shaped molecular structure. tRNAs have two regions of fundamental functional importance: the anti-codon, which is responsible for specific mRNA codon recognition, and the 3' end, to which the tRNAs corresponding amino acid is attached (by aminoacyl-tRNA synthetases). tRNAs cope with the degeneracy of the genetic code in two manners: having more than one tRNA (with a specific anti-codon) for a particular amino acid; and 'wobble' base-pairing, i.e. permitting non-standard base-pairing at the 3rd anti-codon position. Lineage: Bacteria; Pseudomonadati; Fibrobacterota. The record is from RNAcentral.